Molecule: ribosomal RNA, 233 nt
Filed under: uncultured bacterium
Lineage: Bacteria
Description: partial 16S ribosomal RNA
Rfam family: Bacterial small subunit ribosomal RNA
Source: RNAcentral
GAUCAUGGCUCAGGAUGAACGCUAGCUACAGGCUUAACACAUGCAAGUCGAGGGGCAGCAUGGUCUUAGCUUGCUAAGUUUGAUGGCGACCGGCGCACGGGUGAGUAACACGUAUCCAACCUGCCGAUGACUCGGGGAUAGCCUUUCGAAAGAAAGAUUAAUACCCGAUGGCAUAGUUCUUCCGCAUGGUAGAACUAUUAAAGAAUUUCGGUCAUCGAUGGGGAUGCGUUCCA